UUGGUCAUCAGCAUAUGGGGGCUGUGUUCCACCAAGGGAAAAGUUCGAAUGCAAGUACUAGUGAGUUCCAUGGGAGGGACUUGAUCAUGCAGAGGUAUGAUCGAAGCAGCUGGAGAGUUGGACUGCUCCAGAGCUCAUAUUCGCUUAAGGGAGCCCGGCAAGUCAGAGGACAAGGUCGAGUAAGCGAACGUUGCUACCAAGGAAGCUAAGGAGAACAGAAUCGGUGCA
RNAcentral lists this long non-coding RNA (228 nucleotides) under Musa acuminata (dwarf banana). Its description in RNAcentral is "long non-coding RNA (MACU_LNC004030)". The record is from RNAcentral. Lineage: Eukaryota; Viridiplantae; Streptophyta; Magnoliopsida; Zingiberales; Musaceae.